AAAGAAUGAAAGAUAUCCUUGUAAAACCAAAUCAGAAGUUUGUACAUGUAACAGCAAGCAAAGAUAUAUAACUUCAGGAAAAUAUAACACUUUUGUCAAGAUCAAUGAAUUCUAUGUAUUGGUGCUCACAUGUCAACCUAAAUGAACAUUAGAAUGAUGCAGCUUGAAAAGAAUCAGAUGAGCAAGCUGUUUUUAUAUGUCAUUAAGAAGUUGCCUGCAUGUGUUGGUAUUUUCAUGAAUCGCGUUUCUCUGAGGUGCAUUUUGCUUCAGUUUGAAGUUGUCUCUAGCAGGGUGCUUGGCCUGCAAACCGUCUUUCUUUUUCCGAGUAUCUCAGCUCCUUCGAAGAGGAAAUAGCCUUAGAUCCUCACCGGCUGAAUUCCCAGUAUGCGCGUCUAACUCAAAUCAUUCACCAUCAGAUCUUCUGUGAGAUUCUCUUCUUAUCAUUUGUAUGAGGUCCUGAACAACUUCAGACAUUGGUGGCCUGAAUUCUCGCUCAUGCUGAACACAGCGGGAAAUUAUGUCAGCAAAGUGUGAUAGUGAUUUAAUGGGGUAUUUUCCAUCGAGAGCAGGAUCAACCAUCCUUGUCAAGAGAUCAAUAUCGUGUAGCUGAGGGAUUGCCCACCUGACCAAGAACUGCUCUCCUCGACUCCGUGUCCGGUCAUAUGACAUUCUGCCUGUUAUUAAUUCCAGCAUCACCACACCAAAACUGUAAACAU
RNAcentral lists this unclassified non-coding RNA (716 nucleotides) under Hevea brasiliensis (rubber tree). The record is from RNAcentral. Lineage: Eukaryota; Viridiplantae; Streptophyta; Magnoliopsida; Malpighiales; Euphorbiaceae.